AAUACUCAAUUUGUUUUGAUAAAAAAUAAAAUAAGAAUAAAAAAAUCUAAUCACCUAAUAAAAAUAAUGAUAAUAAUAAAAAAAACAAAUGACAUGAUAUUGUUAUUUUUUUGUUUGAAACUUUUUAUAAAAUAAUUAAAUCUAAAAACUUAAAUCGAUAAUAAUAAAAAAAACAAAUGAAAAUUAUUAUUAUGUCAUUUUUAAUCAAGGAAAAAAACUCUUACCUUUUUUAUUUAUCUAGUAGUAAAAAAGAAGAAGUGAUAAUAGAAAUAUAAAAAAAAGGCAAAUGGGCCUAGGGUGUUCAUGCCCAAAAUGGAGGGUUCGGUGGAUCAAAAGCAUUCAGGCCUAUGAUAAGGCCCAAUUGACUUUCCCUAAGGGAGAACAAAAAAUAUAUAAAAAAAUAGUAUUAUCAAUGCAUACGAUUUCCCACUCUAUAUCAUCUAUCAUCAUCUCAACUCCUCCUUCU
Molecule: long non-coding RNA, 466 nt
Filed under: Lathyrus oleraceus (garden pea)
Lineage: Eukaryota; Viridiplantae; Streptophyta; Magnoliopsida; Fabales; Fabaceae
Description: Pisum sativum (pea) long non-coding RNA (PSAT_LNC031248)
Source: RNAcentral